Molecule: unclassified non-coding RNA, 223 nt
Filed under: plant metagenome
Description: partial contains small subunit ribosomal RNA, internal transcribed spacer 1, and 5.8S ribosomal RNA
Source: RNAcentral
UUUCCGUAGGUGAACCAGCGGAGGGAUCAUUACCGAGUUUACAACUCCCAAACCCUAUGUGAACCUUACCUAUCGUUGCUUCGGCGGGAUCGCCCUGGCGCAUCGCGGCGCCGGAUCUCAGGCGCCCGCCGGAGGCCCAAAACUCUUGUUUAUUUAUGUUUCCUCUCCGAGUGGCACAAGCAAAAAUAAAUCAAAACCUUCAACAACGGAUCUCUUGGUUCUG